GGCGCGAAAACUUUACAAUGCUGGCAACAGCGAUAAGGGAACCUCGAGUGCCAGGUUACAAAUCUGGCUGUCGAGAUGCCUAAAAAGCAUUUCAUAGUAAGGGCCGGGCAAGACCGGUGCCAGCCGCCGCGGUAACACCGGCGGCUCGAGUGGUAACCGUUAUUAUUGGGUCUAAAGGGUCUGUAGCCGGCCGGAUAAGUCUCUUGAGAAAUCUGGCAGCUUAACUGUCAGGCUUUCAGGAGAUACUGUCUGGCUCGAGGCCGGGAGAGGUGAGAGGUACUUCAGGGGUAGGGGUGAAAUCUUGUAAUCCUUGAAGGACCACCAGUGGCGAAGGCGUCUCACCAGAACGGACCUGACGGCAAGGGACGAAAGCUAGGGGCACGAACCGGAUUAGAAACCCUGGUAGUCC
This 409-nucleotide ribosomal RNA is filed under the name uncultured bacterium. RNAcentral's name for it is "partial 16S ribosomal RNA". It matches the Rfam family "Archaeal small subunit ribosomal RNA", at positions 338 to 747 of the family's 1478-position model. The record is from RNAcentral.